CAAUAGCGUAUAUUAAAGUUGUUGCGGUUAAAAAGCUCGUAGUUGGAUCUCGGCAGGCAGGGGGUGGUUCGCUCUUAGCGCUACUGCCCCAUUUGCCUGUGUGAUUGGCGGAGGUUUCGGGGUGCUCUUCGUUGAGUGACCCGGGGCGCCGUCAGGUUUACUUUGAAAAAAUUAGAGUGCUCAAAGCAGGCUUUUCACGCUUGAAUAUUCGUGCAUGGAAUAAUGGAAUAGGAACUCGUUUCUAUUUUGUUGGUUUUCGGAAAUCGAGUUAAUGAUUAAUAGGGACAAUUGGGGGCAUUAGUAUUCAGACGACGGAGGUGAAAUUCUUGGACCGUCUGAAGACUAACUACUGCGAAAGCACUUGCCAAGAGUGUUUUCAUUAA
RNAcentral lists this ribosomal RNA (383 nucleotides) under uncultured eukaryote. Its description in RNAcentral is "partial 18S ribosomal RNA". It matches the Rfam family "Eukaryotic small subunit ribosomal RNA", at positions 592 to 976 of the family's 1831-position model. The record is from RNAcentral.